UGAAUUAGAUGGAACUGCAUGU
Molecule: non-coding RNA, 22 nt
Filed under: Mus musculus (house mouse)
Lineage: Eukaryota; Metazoa; Chordata; Mammalia; Rodentia; Muridae
Also listed under: 1 other name
Source: RNAcentral